AUGUGUUAUUUUGAAAAAAAUCAGCUGUUUUUUCACAAGGCAUGGCGCCAAGCGACGUCGGUGGAGGUGGACUCCAUCCUCUUCGGCUUCUACACCGACGACGAGGUCCGGCGGCUCAGCGUCAAGCGGCUCACCAGGUCCGAGCGCCUCGACGCCAAGAACUGCCCCGUGCCCGGCGGCCUGCUCGACCCCGCCAUGGGCCCCGUCAACGCCAACGACACCUGCAAGACCUGCGCGCAGCAGCCCGGCGACUGCCCGGGCCACUUCGGCCACAUCGAGCUCUCCAAGCCGCUCUUCAACCCGCUGCUCUUCGACACCCUCCGGGACCUCCUCCGCUCCACCUGCUUCACCUGCCGCAAGUUCCGCCUCAGCGCCCAGCUGGUCGACAGGUACGCCCGCGAGCUUGAGCUGCUGGCGAGGGGCCAUCUUGUCCAGGCCAAGAACUUGCAAGAUUCCGCUGUUGAAAUGGACGAAAGCGCUGAAAUGGACGAUGGCGACGACGAUUCGGUUGAUAAACCUUCUCACCGAGGGAACAAAACCUGGACAUCCAUCCAGUUGAAAGAGGCCCAUUCUAUCUUCUCCAAGCUGAUGAAGAAGCGAGUGAACAAGUGUGCAAACUGCGGCAUGAAGAACCCACCUAUCAAAUGCCAGAUAUAUGGUUGGCUCACCAUUCAGGGUACAGAUGGUUCUGCUGUAAGAAGAAAAGCAAUCGCUGAUUAUAAUCUUGAAGGAGAUGGCCAUAUUUCCAACCCAAAUGGAACUGGUGUUUCUGGUCUUACGGAUGAUAGAGUUAAAGCAUCAAGCAAUCAAACAAAAGACCUUUCUGAUGAUAGACCUCUCUUGACUACGGAGGUUGAAUCUAUUCUCAAAGACCUGUGGGAAAAGGAAGCCAGGUUCUGCAUGUUACUAUGCGACUUUCAGCAGAAUUUAUGUGUAUCAGAAAAGAGGAGGGGCUAUGAGAUGUUUUUCUUGAAGAGUAUGCUUGUGCCACCAAAUAGAUUCCGUCCUUCAACUAGUUCUAGCCUUGGAAUUAUGGAACAUCCACAAAAUGUUAUGCUAAGUAAAGUGCAAGAGGCCAAUCUUGCGCUACAGCAUGACAAUCCUAAUCACAUGGAUAUUCUUACAAGAUGGAGGGAUCUGCAAACAAGUGUAAAUUUAUUUUACGAUAGUAGUAAAGGCCUUGGAAAAAGCGGGAAAGAUGGUCAUGGUGUACGACAAUUGGUGGAUAAGAAAACUGGGAUUGUUCGACAGAAAAUAAUGGGCAAGAGAGUUAAUCAUUCCUGCCGUACGGUUAUAUCUCCGGAUCCGUUUUUAGCUGUUAACGAAAUUGGGAUUCCUCCUGCUGCUGCUUUAAAGCUGACUUAUCCUGAGAAAGUGACGCCCUGGAAUGCCAAAAAGCUACAAGGAGCUAUAAGUAAUGGCUCGGAAAUUCAUCCUGGUGCGACACGCUUGAAGGUUAACAAUCACAUGUAUAAAUUACAGGAUGACCGUAACAAACGUCGUGGCAUUGCUAAGAUGUUGGCUGCUUCUAAAGGAUCAAUUUCUCAACCAGGGAAGGACCCUAAAUGUGAAUUUGAAAGCAAAGUUGUAUAUCGACAUAUUCAAGAUGGUGACAUUGUACUGGUCAACAGACAGCCUACUCUUCACAAGCCCAGCAUGAUGGCCCAUGUUGUUCGUGUGUUGGCUGGAGAGAAGACAAUUCGAAUGCACUAUGCCAAUUGCAGUACAUACAAUGCUGAUUUUGAUGGGGAUGAAAUGAAUGUGCACUUCCCACAAGAUGAAAUAUCUCGGGCUGAGGCCAUCAACAUUGUUGAUGCAAAUAAGCAGUACAUUGGUCCAAGGAGUGGGGAGGCUGUCAGAGGUCUCAUUCAGGACCACAUUGUUGGUGCUGUUCUCCUGACAAAAGUGGACACAUUCUUGAGCCGUGAGGAAUACAGUCAGCUUGUCUAUGGGUCUUGUGUGUCCUCAACUCGUGGUCCUUGUCAAUCUGGUAAAAGGGUAUCCAUUGUGAAUGAUGAUGACACAUUGGAACUUCUUCCUCCAGCUUUUGUCAAGCCAGAGCGGUGGACGGGAAAACAGGUCAUAACAACCAUCUUGAACCAUUUAACGAAAGGCCACCCACCAUUUACUGUGGAGAUGAAAGGGAAAAUUUCAGUACAAUAUCUAACAGCUAAAGUACGCCAUGUUGCUGAAGGAGAAAAACUUAGAGAUCCUGAAGAACUAGUUUUAUAUAUUCGCCAUAAUGAGCUCUUAAAGGGCAUGAUAGACAAGAACCAGUUCGGGAAUCACGGGAUAGUACAUACAGUUCAUGAACUCUAUGGUGCAGAUGCAGCUGGAAGAUUGCUCUCGAUUUUCAGCCGCUUGUUUACAUUGUUCUUGCAGUUUCAUGGAUUUACUUGUGGAAUAGAUGAUCUGUUACUAUCCCAAGAGUCAAAUAACGAGAGGACGGAUUUUUUGUCGAAAAGUGAGGAACACAGUGAAGAAGCCCAUAAGAAAUUUCUGUGCGAGAAAGAUGUUGAUACAGAUCUAGUGAAAUUGCAAAUGAAGGUCGAAAAGGUUGUUCGGAGAAUAGGAGAAUCUGCGAACGUUGCGUUGGAUAAAGCAAUGUUAAGCGAACUAAAUGGGUUAACAACUAAGGUCAACAAGAACAUGUUUCCCUAUGGUCUACAAAAGCCCUUCCCUAAAAAUUGUCUCACUCUUAUGACUGCAACUGGAGCAAAAGGAGGCGAUGUUAACAUGACACAAAUCUCGUCAUUGCUAGGCUCACAAGAUUUAGAAGGAGCGCGUGUUCCACGAAUGAUAUCUGGGAAGUCAUUACCUUGCUUUCCACCAUGGGAUAGUUCUUCAAGAGCUGGUGGUUACGUCAGUGACAGAUUUUUAACUGGUCUCCGCCCUCAAGAGUACUAUUUCCACUGUAUGGCUGGCAGAAAUGGGUUGAUUGACACAGCAGUCAAAACAUCUCGUAGUGGAUAUCUUCAGCGUUGUCUUAUCAAAAGUCUUGAAUCAUUGUUUGUUUCAUAUGAUCACUCUGUGCGUAAUGUUGAUGGAUCAAUCAUACAAUUCUGCUAUGGAGAAGAUGGAGUUGAUGUCCAUAAAAGUAGCUUCCUCAAAAAGUUUAAAGAACUCGCUGAUAAUAGAAAAGCUGUGUCUGACAGGCUUGCGAGGUACAAGGGUGAGCUUGAGAUCUACAAUGGCGAUCCCCUGUUAUUCAAGUCCAAAUACAUUACUAAACUGCCUCAAGAGCUCACCGAAAGCGCAACGGAUUUUCACAAUAAAAACAAGUGUUGCUGCCGCAAGCUUAAAAAGAAGUGUCGCUGCCAUUAUAACAUCAAGGAGGAGGAACUAAUGAAGUUACUGAAAGUCAAGUACAUGGCUAGCCUUGUAGAUCCUGGUGAAGCUGUUGGUGUGAUCCUUGCUCAGUCCUUAGGAGAACCUUCAACGCAGAUGACGCUCAACACUUUCCAUCUUGCUGGAAGAGGGGACAUGAAUGUCACACUUGGGAUGCCUCGCAUACAGGAAAUCCUAAUGAAAGCAUCAGCUAAUAUUGGCACACCUUAUAUGAAGUGCCCUGUGCAUAAAGGCAAGAAGAGGAAGGAUGCUGCACGUCUGGCUGAAAAACUAAGGGGUGUUACGUUGGCUGAUGUUGUGGAAGGAAUUGAAGUAUGCACAGUUCCUUUUCACAAUAGUAAUGGGCAUAUUUCGAGUCUCUAUAAGUUGCAUCUAAAACUAUUCUCACCAGACUGUUACCCUCCUGAGUCGGAACUUACAGUAGAUGAGUGUCAAGCAUCCUUGAGAACUGUGUUUGUUGAUGCUAUGGAAUAUGCAAUCGAAAAACACCUAAAUUUGCUACACAAAGUUAGUGGAAUCCAGGAAACAAGGGUAAAGGACACUGAGAGUUUACCAUCAGAAGGUCCUGAAGAAUCCGAGGGCAGACCUACUGACGGUGACGAGUCUGAUGCGAGUGAUGGUGACGAUGAAAAUGAGGACGACUUGGGAGCUGAUGCAGAAAAGAGGAAACGACAAGAGAAUGAUGAGAUGGAGUAUGAGGAUGAUAUUGAAAAUGAAGAUGGCAUGAACAGUGACCCUGAUGAAGAGACAAAACAUGAACUUGAUAAUGAGGAUGAUCCAGCUGAGUCUGGUGGAGAAUCAGAAGAGAAUAACGAAGGACAUUUGUCAGAUUCCAGUAACAAGACUGCAAAAUUAGAAGGCAGGCUUGCAGCUAGUAAACUCAAGGAGAGUAAUGAAACGGUGGAAAACUUGGAGGAGCAGAAGCAGGCACAAAUAACCCGGAAACGCAGCAAAAAGUUAAAGCUGACUGUUCAUGUUGAAAGCGCAGAUUUGAAUUUUGAGGUUCACUACAUCUUGCACAAGGAACCACAUAUUUUACUAUCCCAGAUUGCCCAGAAGACGUUGAGGUCCCUAUUUGUCAGUGGAUCCCAUAACAAAAACAUAGGUCUAUGUAAUGUUAUUUGGCCAGAGAAGGAAAAGAAAGGUGAAAGUGAAAGCAAACAAAAAGAGACGGAGAGGAAAGAUGACUUUCGAGGGCUGCAAACGGCAGGACUGGACUUUGAGGUAUUCUGGGAUCUGCAGGACUUACUGGACGUCCGCAAGCUUACAUCUAAUGACAUACAUGCUAUGUUGAGGACAUACGGGGUGGAGGCUGCGAGGGCCACCAUCAUUAACGAGGUGAAGGCCGUGUUUGAGCCCUUUGGCAUCAAGGUAGACCCGAGGCACCUGAGCCUGGCUGCUGAUUUCAUGACCUCGGGAGGCUCCUACCGACCGAUGAACAGCCUCGGGAUGGCCCGGUUCUGCACGUCGCCGUUUGGCAAGAUGAGCUUUGAGCAGGCCACGAGGUUCAUCAUGGAGGCGGCCUACCACGGGGAGGUGGACAACCUCACCGGCCCUUCGGCGACCGUGUCCCUGGGGAAACCGGCCAAGACGGGGACGGGUGCCUUUGGGCUGCUGCAGAAUAUCGCCCUGGAGGAGCGGGCGGUGAUGUAA
RNAcentral lists this ribosomal RNA (5001 nucleotides) under Triticum aestivum (bread wheat). RNAcentral's name for it is "partial small subunit ribosomal RNA". Lineage: Eukaryota; Viridiplantae; Streptophyta; Magnoliopsida; Poales; Poaceae. The record is from RNAcentral.